GACGGGACCGCACAGCGGUGGAUGAUGUGAUUAAUUCGAUCGCAACGCGAAAACCUUACCCACCUUUGACAUGGCAGGAAUCCCGAAGAGAUUUGGGAGUGCUCGAAAGAGAACCUGCACACAGGUGCUGCAUGGCUGUCGUCAGCUCGUGUCGUGAGAUGUUGGGUUAAGUCCCGCAACGAGCGCAACCCUUGCCAUUAGUUGCUACGAAAGGGCACUCUAAUGGGACUGCCGGUGACAAACCGGAGGAAGGUGGGGAUGACGUCAAGUCCUCAUGGCCCUUAUAGGUGGGGCUACACACGUCAUACAAUGGCCGGUACAGAGGGUAGCCAACCCGCGAGGGGGAGCCAAUCCCACAAAGCCGGUCGUAGUCCGGAUCGCAGUCUGCAACUCGACUGCGUGAAGUCGGAAUCGCUAGUAAUCGCGGAUCAGCAUGUCGCGGUGAAUACGUUCCCGGGUCUU
This 462-nucleotide ribosomal RNA is filed under the name uncultured Allobrachymonas sp. RNAcentral's name for it is "bacterial SSU rRNA". It matches the Rfam family "Bacterial small subunit ribosomal RNA", at positions 917 to 1381 of the family's 1533-position model. Lineage: Bacteria; Pseudomonadati; Pseudomonadota; Betaproteobacteria; Burkholderiales; Comamonadaceae. The record is from RNAcentral.